UACGUAGGGGGCAAGCGUUAUCCGGAUUUACUGGGUGUAAAGGGAGCGCAGACGGCAGUGCAAGUCUGGAGUGAAAGCCCGGGGCUCAACCCCGGCGAGCCGUUGAAACUGGCGGGCUGGAGUUGGAGAGAAGUACGCGGAAUGCGCGGUGUAGCGGUGAAAUGCAUAGAUAUCGCGCAGAACUCCGAUUGCGAAGGCAGCGUACCGGCGCCAGACUGACGCUGAGGCACGAAAGCGUGGGGAUCGAACAGG
Molecule: ribosomal RNA, 252 nt
Filed under: uncultured Bacteroidales bacterium
Lineage: Bacteria; Pseudomonadati; Bacteroidota; Bacteroidia; Bacteroidales
Description: partial 16S ribosomal RNA
Rfam family: Bacterial small subunit ribosomal RNA
Source: RNAcentral